RNA transcript from Corythoichthys intestinalis (scribbled pipefish), 2632 nucleotides. It is a transcript of the gene named secretory carrier membrane protein 2, like, with no coding region annotated. The record is from RefSeq and is a predicted model, not a curated record. NCBI's taxonomy places the organism in Eukaryota, Metazoa, Chordata, Actinopteri, Syngnathiformes, Syngnathidae. The transcript is spliced from 10 exons.
UGUCUACCUGUCGAGCGACGCAUGCGCAGAACGCCACCGCGGCGCCAUCAGGAGCAGACGCCGACAGUGUUGAACAAGGUGCCUGCGUUAUUAUCAGCAAAAAUUGCCCUUCCCUUCAACACAAUGGCUGCAUUUGACAACAACCCAUUCGCCGACCCUGUGGACGUCAACCCCUUCCAGGAUGCCUCGGUCACAAAAGCCACCCGAGGAGCCCUCGAUGAUAUUCGGGAAUACAACCCAUUUGCCACAACUGAACUGAAAGACCACAGUGACACUACUAUUCCCAUCUCAGCUGUUUCAUCUCAACCCGCCAUAUUACAAACUUCAGUGGAGCAGAGUUCACGAGCAUCUGCUGCGGCCAUUGCAGGUCAAGCUAAUCUGAUAAAGCAGCAAGAGGAGCUGGAGAGAAAAGCAGCAGAGUUGGAGAGGAAGGAGCAAGAACUUCAGAACAGAACCACCCAGAACACCGGCGUCAUCGAGAACAACUGGCCUCCUCUGCCUAAGUUCUUUCCUGUGAAGCCAUGCUUUUACCAGGACUUUGAGACGGACAUCCCAGAGGAAUACCGCCGGAUCUGCAGAAGAAUGUACUACCUAUGGAUGUUCCACAGUGCUACAUUGUUCCUCAACGUGCUGGCCUGCCUGGCCUACUUCACAGUGGACUCUCAGUACGGCAUAGACUUUGGUCUGUCCAUCCUCUGGUUCCUCCUCUUCACCCCCGUCUCCUUCAUCUGUUGGUACAGACCCGUAUACAAGGCAUUCAGGUCAGACAGUUCCUUCAGCUUCUUUUUCUUUUUCUUUGUCUUCUUCUUCCAAGUGGCCGUGUACAUCAUCCAGACUGUGGGGAUCCCCAAGUGGGGCAACAGAUUGCUGUUGUCCUCUUUAAGGGGCUUUAUAAUUUUGGCUGGAUUGCUUCAAUCACCAUGAUCCGCGUAAACUUAGGAGUGGCCGUGGUCAUGAUGGUGGUGGCCGGCUUUUUCACCGUCAACGCUGUUGUGGCCGUCCUCCUUUUGAAGAUGGUCCACUCCAAGUACAGACGUACGGGAGCCAGCUUUACCAAGGCUCAGCAGGAGUUUUCCAUUGGCGUCCUGAGCAACAGAAGCUUCCAGUCUGCUGCUACGACGGCUGCUCAAGGAGCCUUUGGCAGGAACUAAACUGUUGUCUUUUUUCUGGUUAUCUUGCACAAGUCAUUUCCCUACUGCACAAAUUGUAACAACGGGGGGGAAAAAAUAAUAGUAACUAGACCACAAUCUUGCUGCCACAUGGUUGUGUUUUUUGUUAAACAAGGGUAAUAACCAGGGAGCGUGGUUGUAUACUGUCUAUAAUAACGUGCAAGUCAAGCUGUAAUUGGCCUGCACGUGCUUUGAACUGGACUUCAUUGUACACUGAGCACCCGCAUCAGAAAUAGUAUGAAGAAUCAUUUGCAAAACUGAAUUGGAUAAAGAGACUCAGAAAAUUUCAUUACAUCUUAACCAAAAAAAAAAAAAAAAAAAGCAGCAGCACCUUACUGUUUAACAAUGAUGAAGAGCUGUUCGUGUGCUACUGUUGAGAGCUCAGUCAAGUUAGAGCUUGAGAUCUUGUUCAUUGUAAAAUGUUCUUUUCCUCCAUUGUCACUUUUUAGAGGAAAGAACAUAAAACUGCGUAAAUAUUCUUAAUGUUACUGUCAGUUCUGGCCAUUGAUAAUUUAAAGUAAAACAGUAGCAGCUAAAAAUGUUGUAAUCUCUGCAUGUACAGCCCCAAAAAAUACUGUCUGUAGGUGAAUGUUUAUUGUUACCCAAGCCCUCUUUUGUAUGUUUUCUUGUGUAUAGUUUUGAUGAUGAAGGGAAGGGCAUGACGUUUAUUUUCUUACAGGUUCAAAUGAAGGAUGACCCAAAAUGUUCACAAGCUGAAAUGAAGCAGUGCCUUAAGCAGGUGUUUGUAUUUUAUACCUUUUGAUUCAUAAAUAAUUCCUCGCUUGUAUGGAGUUUCAGAAGAAAUUUAUUUAUUCUCUGUUACUAAGAAAAUAUAGACCUUAACCAAGAUUAAUGAGCUAAAGAACACAAUCAUGUCCAUUUUCUAGACACUGCUAAAUGUAUUAAAGAUGGCAGCUACUGGAUGUAAAAUGCAUUAGAUCUUUAUAGUCGAGUCAGCCUCGUAGUUAUUCGUCAAUUUUAACAUUCUAGAUAUUGCAUGUCCACAGCCCUUCUGCUAAAUAGGUAAUUUAUCAACUUUUCCAUUCCUGAUCGAUGUGUCACUGGUCACCUGAUGUAAUUUUCUGUGCUGUUUUUCUUAGUUACAUUUACAAAUGUAGAAUCUUUAGAUUGAGUUGAGACUAAACACUUUAAAUAUACAAAAUCCAGUUUAAGGACUAGAAAUAUGAAGGAUUCCAUAAAUAUUUAACAUAUUCCAUCGAUGAGUAGACAGAUGAGGAUUUUUGGGCUACUGAACGCAUAUCAACCUAUCCUCGGUCUUCGUCUCAUUUAAUGAAUUUUGAAAUAUAAAAGGCCUUUUGUUGCAUGUUUGGUUGCUCAUGUUUUAAGAUUUUUUUUUUUUUUUUAUGUCUUAAGCUGUGUUGUAUACAGGUUUAAACUAUUUUAAUGUAUAUCUACUUUUAGGGAUUCUGAUGGGACGGUUGAUUUAAUAAAUCCCUUUUAAA